Long non-coding RNA from Vespula vulgaris, 2978 nucleotides. RefSeq lists it as uncharacterized. The transcript has 2 exons. Lineage: Eukaryota; Metazoa; Arthropoda; Insecta; Hymenoptera; Vespidae. The record is from RefSeq and is a predicted model, not a curated record.
UUACGCGGUUUUAAGUGGGGGAGCUCGGUGGCGCGUAUGGCGGCUAUGAGAAGCCGAUUAGCUUGAGACUGUGUUAAAUUCUCUUGUAGGCGCGAAGGACGGUGGCAGGGACGACGUCGACGAUGGCGGUAGUGGUUCCAAUGGUUACGACGGUGGUGUGCCGGUAGAGGCAAAACGGACGAUCGUACUCGAGGACAUAAUUUACGCUUGGGAAAGGGCGAAGUAGCGACAGCAUUAGUAGCUAAGUGGGACCCUACGUUAUCCUAUAUCCCUUGUGGAGGAUUGCACCUUUGUGAGAGCUUACGUGCAUGCACGAAUAUACGUAUGUAUCUCUGCUACGUUUGUUUGAGUAGGUAUAUGUAGAUAUCUAUGUAUAUACUUAAAUAUAUAUAUGUAUGUGUGUAUACAUAUAUGGACGAAUCCUCUCCUUCGAAGCGAUUCCUAUCUGCAGUGGGCCACUCGCCACGAUGGAGAACACCAAGAACCAUACAGAUUACGAUCUUCCAUCCUAACCACCGGGACGAGAGCGAGCCUUUAAGGUACCCACGAGCAGCACUCAAUUCAGAUAAUGGAAUGACUUGAUCGUACUACCACCACCUUCAUCACCAACACCGCCACCGCCACCACCAUCACCACCACCACCACCACCACCAGCACCAUCACCAUCACCAUCAGGUUCGUCUUCGCGCGUACACCGUCCAUCAGCCUCAAGGCCUUUUACCCAGGCCGGAAUAAAUUGCCAUGCAGGGUGCGGCAUUUCCAACCAGCUUACGCCGAUUCCGUGCUUGUAUACCACCUAAGUAUCCGCGAUUGGUAUCCCAUUUAAGGUGGCUUUCAUUCUCAUUAAAACCACCGCGAUCGAACGAAACGCAUUUAUUAUCCUCUUCCUCUUCCUCCAUCUAUUCCCCACCUUCAACUCUUUCUUCAUUUCACCCAUACGUUUUUCCACGUUACGGAUACGAACAUGGCAUUUUUCUUUCGAAAUUAGAUGACAUUUGUUUUUAUAUAAAAAAGAAGAAGGAAAGAGAGCAUUGAUUUACUUACGGAUAGAAAGAAAGAAAAAAAGAUAUAUAUAUAUAUAUAUAUAGAAAGAGAAAGAGAGAGAAAGGGAAGAAUCCGUCCUAGAUUAGAAGAGCGUUUUUGCGCAGAAUCACUCUGUGAGAGAUCUCACGAGACGAGUAUCGUUUUGCCAACGAGAUAACGCACGCCUUCGGUGCCUCUUUCACAAUCACGAAAGACGCAUACCUAUUUACGUAUAUAUGUACAUUGUGCAUACGUAAGUAAGUAAGUAAGUAAGCAAGUAAGUAAGUAAGUACGUAUACAGUACAAUACGGACAAAUCGAAAUCGAUACGCAGCUUCUUCUCGCUCGAGGAUAAUUUCAAGUUGGAUCUAUGAAUCUUCCUCUUUUGCAUAUUCUCCUUCCUUCUUAUAACACGUUGUUAUAUUCAGAAUAUACCCCGACAUACACUAUUAUUGCUUUUCAUUUUAUGUAUGUACUCUUCAACGUAAAAUCAUUUAGUAUCGCAUUAUAAAAAAGAAAAAAUAAAAGAGAGAGAGACAAAGAAUGAGUAACAGUGAGAAAGAUAUAUAUAUAUAUAUAUAUAUAUAUAUAUACACACACACACACACACUAUAAAGAGAUUGCUAUACCAAGAAGACAAUGGUUUAAAUUUGAAAUAUAAAAAGUAGAGGAUGAGCUGGCAAAAAUCAUUCAACGAGGAUGGAAACUAACUCGUGAUGGUGUUAAACGAAAUAGAAGGGGGAAAAAAGGAAAAAAAGAAGAAAAUAAAAGAUACAAAGUGAGAGAGAAAGAGAGAGUGAAAGAAAAAGGGAUAGCUUAAAAAGCGCAGCGUGGCGAUGGCGGACGGAACGAUCUAACUCGGCUUAACUACAUAACUACAUCUUUCUUUUACGUUCCACCCGAGUAGGGCCCGCGGCCACUUACCUUCUUCACCCUUUGCCAGCUUCGCCCUCUGUUCCUUUCCCUUUCUCUCUCUCUCUCUCUCUCUCUCUUUUUCUUUCUCUCUCUCUUUCUUUCUUUCCUCAUCCGUACGACUUUGUCUUCUCCUGUUUUCUCCCUCUUCUCUCCUUUCUCAUCAGCCAUCCCCCUUCCCUUCUUACGUCCGCGCUAUAUCUUUCUCUCCCUCUUCCUCUUUCACCUUCCACGAUCAUCCCAGUCUCUCUUUUCGUCUCUCUCUCUCUCUCUCUCUCUCUCUUUCUCUGUAUCUGUAUCUAUCUCUCUUUCUCUCCUUCUCUCAUACUCUCUUUCUCGUUCCUACUCUUCCUUCCUCGUUCGUUGCACCGCCUUUCUGCGUUACGGUGCGAUCCAGCGGAGUCGUCGGCACGGAAAAAAGGCGGCCCUAAAAGAACUUCAUAUUUUUUAUGCCCUGACAGCGACUUGGGUGGUCCAAAAUGGCCGCCCAAUGAUGUAAUAUAGUGCUCUCGCUACGAGCCAUCUCUCUCUCUCUCUCUCUCUCUCUCUCUCUCUCUCUCUCUCUCUCUGUUUCGAAGAGAAGAUGCUCAAAGUGAACGCGUUUAAAAAUGCAAACUUUCUUUUCCUUUUCUUCUCCUCCCACUUUCCGCGCCUCUGGAAAACGCAGGUGUUUAUAAUGUUACCCUUGUUGUUAUUUGCAAUCUAUGUAUAUCGAAAAUGGCAAAAAUGGCGGACAGCCAACGUAUACACGGUUACGUGCAAGAAAGACUUUCGUGGACCAAGAUCGAACGCGUUGCCUUCCGGCGACGGACGAUAAUUGUCUGCCGCGCGUGGACGGUUAAUAGUAUAGGUGUACCGAGGCGCGAACUCUUCUCCCGCAUCAAUAACGAUGAAGAACGUGUUAAUAUCGUGUCGAGAUAGUUAAGCGUUAGGUUUCACGUACGUUAGCUUAAAAAAACUUUUUGAGAUAAGUGUAAUAAGAAGAUAGUUAUACGAGCGUGAAAAUCGAUUGGUUGUAAUUUAAUAAAGCUAAUAUAAAAAAUA